RNAcentral lists this long non-coding RNA (529 nucleotides) under Homo sapiens (human). RNAcentral's name for it is "non-protein coding lnc-ALDH1L2-3:1". The record is from RNAcentral. Lineage: Eukaryota; Metazoa; Chordata; Mammalia; Primates; Hominidae.
GAAAAAGGAGAAUGAGAAGGUGAAGACCGAAGUCGGAAAAGAGGUGGCCGCGGCCCGGCGGAAGCAGCACCUCUCCUCCCUUCAGUACUACUGUGCCCUCAACGCGCUGCAGUACAGAAAGCAAAUGGCCAUGAUGGAGCCCAUGAUAGGCUUUGCCCAUGGACAGAUUAACUUUUUUAAGAAGGGAGCAGAGAUGUUUUCCAAACGUAUGGACAGCUUUUUAUCCUCCGUUGCAGACAUGGUUCAAAGGUAAUGCUGCACUCCGGCCGGGUCUUGUGUGCCCCUUGCCUUUCAUGCUGAUCUGACAUCUCUGGGAGGUCACGGGGAGGGUUCUAACUGUGGAGGGUCGCACAGAGCCUCUGUCCACCCCAGAAAUGCUCGCUAACAGUGCCCUUGCCUUAGCUGCCAAUAUUCAUAAAUAUCUGGGGCACAUUGGCAGAGUUUUCUCCAGAUCUCUUGUUGUGAAUAUUGGAGUUUCACAUGUCACAAGCCUGGGAACCCAGCUUAGCUUUGCUGUGGUUUUAGAAGA